This 311-nucleotide unclassified non-coding RNA is filed under the name Hevea brasiliensis (rubber tree). The record is from RNAcentral. Lineage: Eukaryota; Viridiplantae; Streptophyta; Magnoliopsida; Malpighiales; Euphorbiaceae.
GCCUAAACAAAAAAAAAGAAAAAUCUGAUUAAAUAACAAAACUGUGAACCCUGAAUCUGAAAUCUCUGUUAUCUAACAGUAGAUGCAACAGUUUGAGCCCACCAUUUAAGAUUAUCUUUCAUGUCCAUCUCAUUACUCGAAGCAGGAAAUCUCCAAUUCAUAAGUGGAUCCUCUUUCUUUCUCCUAUCCAAACUAUUCCAUGCUUCAGAAAGAUAAGGCCUCGAAACUGUGGCCUCAUCAACACCACUCUCUUCUUCCCCAUCUUUCUUUCCCAAUCUUUGCAACCCUGGAAUUAUUGAAACCAAACUUGA